UCAACACAGUUUUAAGAGAUGGAAGAAACCCAAAGAAUUUGGCGGAUGUUAUUAUAGCUGGUUUUCCUGCCAAACAGGUUAGGGUAUUGCCAACUUCUGGGAGUAAGCCAGAUUUGGAAAUUGAUUGCUACUAUUGACUGUUGCCAUUUAUUGAAGCCUGCCUGGUGGGUUUUUUUUUUCACUCCUCCCUUAAACAGAGGUACUAGAACUCCACCCUUAAACAGAGGUACUAGAACUCCUGAUAAAUUGUAACAGGAGAUGAAGCUCUUGAUGUCAAUACGGAGGGCGGGGCAGGUUUGGUGAUUGGAGCAUAUCUUUUUUUGGGUUAUGAAAUACAGACCCAAAAGGGGAAAACAAAUCCACCUCUUAAGGAAAUGAUGUCUCCCCGUAAUUAUAAUGGUAAUAAUAACUGUGGCAUUUGUUAAGUGUUUACUAUGUGCCAAGCACUGUACUAAGCAUCGGGGUAGUUAAUAGAUGAUCAGGUCCCACAUGGGGCUCACAUUCUAGGUAGGAGGGAGAACAAGUUUUGAAUCCCCAUUUUGCAGAUGAGGGAAAUGAGACACACGGAAGUGAAGUGACUUGCCUAAGGUCACACUGCACACAAGUGAAGGACUGAGGAUUAGAAUCCAGUUCCUCUGACUCCCAGGCCCGAGCUCUUUCUUGUAGGCCACACUACUUCUCAGUGUGGUUUCCCCUUGGUUUUCCCAUGCUCCUGAGAGUCACUUCACCCAUGUCUGAGACCUGUCCCAUCCAUUGAUCAAAUCUAGUUCUGGCGCUCUUACCAGAAGGCCCAGCAUUACAGGCCCUAAAUGGCAAGGAGUGGCUGAGGGGCCACUGACAAUGCCGUAGUUAUAGAGGUUGGACACUUGCUCUGAAUUUGCCUGUGCCUUUCUCAGGAGCAGUGAUGGCAACUUUUUAGGUGACCCUAUUUUGCCUUUUUUUUUUUGGCAGGGGGGCUUAUAUUAAGCCGUUUCAGAGGACCAAGUUGUUGCUACUGUGCAGAAAGAUUCAUAAUAAUGAAAUAGCCUGCAAACCUCCCCUAGUUCUUUCUGAGAUGACCAGAAACACUGAUGAUGAAUCACCUGAUAGAAGACUCCUCUGGAAUUUCAAUCAAAACCUCUCUUUCAAUAACAGUUACAGGUAAAAGUGUUUACCUUGGUAUGAGUAUAACUUUUAU
This 1177-nucleotide long non-coding RNA is filed under the name Ornithorhynchus anatinus (platypus). RNAcentral's name for it is "lncRNA (ENSOANG00000039698.1)". The record is from RNAcentral. Lineage: Eukaryota; Metazoa; Chordata; Mammalia; Monotremata; Ornithorhynchidae.